GUACUACUCCCUCCGUCCGGAAAUACUUGUCAUCAAAAUGAAUAAAAGAAGAUGUAUCUAGACGUAUUUUAGUUCUAAGAUACGUCCCUUUUUAUCUAUUUUGAUGACAAGUAUUUUCGGACGGAGGGAGUACUUU
Molecule: non-coding RNA, 136 nt
Organism: Triticum aestivum (bread wheat)
Lineage: Eukaryota; Viridiplantae; Streptophyta; Magnoliopsida; Poales; Poaceae
Source: Rfam